This 314-nucleotide long non-coding RNA is filed under the name Jatropha curcas. RNAcentral describes it as "long non-coding RNA (JCUR_LNC003431)". The record is from RNAcentral. Lineage: Eukaryota; Viridiplantae; Streptophyta; Magnoliopsida; Malpighiales; Euphorbiaceae.
CUAAGGAACAUACUAGAAGAAAUUGAUAAUUGAUGUAGAAAGAACACAGGUUCGAGAACAUGCGAGAAAAAGCCCCAAAUCCUUCUGAAGCAUUGAAGGUUCGAGAUUUUUCCAGAUACAGUUUGUUAGCGAAAGCCCAAUUAGAUUUCCCGAGAAACUACCAGAAUCGUUCUUCUGCAUCCUAUAAAUAAUCAAACCCAUCAGCCCUAAUCCCACAAUCGACAAUAAGAAGCAGUUCAGUUCUGAAUUACUUUCUCAGCGAUCUAUCAAUCUUUUCUAAGCGAUAAACAAAUUGGAAAUGGCUCUGAUUCCAA